GGCGCUCCCGGGGAAGGCAGUUUUUGCUCAGCGCGUUCUGCAGCAUAAGCAAUCCUAACGCGAAUCCGUGAACUGCCUAUUCUGACGCCGCGGAGAAAUCUCACGCGGGAAUCCCCACGGUGUGCCCGCGCUUAACGCAGACGCCUGAACCCCGAGGAAGUCUCCGACUCCGCAAUGAGUGACAUGCGGGCUUGAGAAGUUCUGAAGGAACGUGAUCCGAGUUAGGGAACGUAACUGAAGCUCAUUUUGUCUUAGUUAUGGACUAUGAUUCCUUAAUAAACGUAAGAAUGACAAAUGUCAGCAAAGAGUGGUCCCUGUCCCAA
Molecule: long non-coding RNA, 323 nt
Organism: Mandrillus leucophaeus (drill)
Lineage: Eukaryota; Metazoa; Chordata; Mammalia; Primates; Cercopithecidae
Exons: 2
Source: RefSeq, a predicted model, not a curated record